This 408-nucleotide ribosomal RNA is filed under the name uncultured bacterium. Its description in RNAcentral is "partial 16S ribosomal RNA". It matches the Rfam family "Bacterial small subunit ribosomal RNA", at positions 355 to 752 of the family's 1533-position model. The record is from RNAcentral.
UGGGGAAUUUUGGACAAUGGGCGCAAGCCUGAUCCAGCCAUGCCGCGUGCGGGAAGAGGGCCUUCGGGUUGUAAACCGCUUUUGUCAGGGAAGAAAUCUUCUGAGUUAAUACCUCGGGAGGAUGACGGUACCUGAAGAAUAAGCACCGGCUAACUACGUGCCAGCAGCCGCGGUAAUACGUAGGGUGCAAGCGUUAAUCGGAAUUACUGGGCGUAAAGCGUGCGCAGGCGGUUUUGUAAGACAGAGGUGAAAUCCCCGGGCUCAACCUGGGAACUGCCUUUGUGACUGCAAGGCUUGAGUGCGGCAGAGGGGGCAUGGAAUUCCGCGUGUAGCAGUGAAAUUGCGUAGAUAUGCGGAGGAACACCGAUGGCGAAGGCAAUCCCCCUGGGCCUGCACUGACGCUCAUGC